AGAUCUGAUAAAUUUAAAAAGGGGAGUUUCCUUGCCCAAGCCCUCUUCUUUAGUUUGCUGCCAUGUGAGACAUGCCUUUUACCUUCUGCCAUGGUUGAGAGGACUCCCCAGCCAUGCUGAACUGAGGAAAUUUGGACAGAGGGACAUAUGCACACAGAAAGAAUUCCAUACGAACAGGAAGACAGAUGUCACAGUGAUGCAUCUACAAGCCGAAGAAUGUCAAAGAUGCCAGCACCCACCAGAAGCUAGUAGAGAUGCAAGGAACAGUUUCUCACAGACCUCAGAAGGGACCAACUUUUUUACCCCUUGACAUUUCCAGCCUCCAGAAAUGUGAAACAAUAAAUUUAUUUUCUUUAAGUCAUCCAGUUUGUUUUGCAGAUUUAUAGCAACCCAAGACAAUUAAUA
This 405-nucleotide long non-coding RNA is filed under the name Callithrix jacchus (white-tufted-ear marmoset). RNAcentral's name for it is "lncRNA (ENSCJAG00000072729.1)". Lineage: Eukaryota; Metazoa; Chordata; Mammalia; Primates; Cebidae. The record is from RNAcentral.